UAGGGAAUCUUCCACAAUGGACGCAAGUCUGAUGGAGCAACGCCGCGUGAGUGAAGAAGGUCUUCGGAUCGUAAAGCUCUGUUGUUGGUGAAGAAGGAUAGAGGCAGUAACCGGUCUUUAUUUGACGGUAAUCAACCAGAAAGUCACGGCUAACUACGUGCCAG
This 164-nucleotide ribosomal RNA is filed under the name uncultured bacterium. Its description in RNAcentral is "partial 16S rRNA". It matches the Rfam family "Bacterial small subunit ribosomal RNA", at positions 355 to 511 of the family's 1533-position model. The record is from RNAcentral.